CGUGUAUCUCUCUACCUGUUUUAAUUUAAAACUGUAGGUGUGCCUCUACCUCAAGUGAUGUUCGUCCAGGCUCCACUUCACUACUGCUAAGCUCCACCUACCCGAACAUUAACCCAGGGAGCUCCGGCUGCGAAGCGGGCCUGAGCCAGACAUAGACAUGGGACUAGGGUAGACUGGAACCUCAAAAAAGUGAAAAGUUCUGUUGCGAUACCCCUCCUAAUUUUUUCAAAAUUCAUUACAAAAUGGCCGAUCGAGACUGGGGUAGAAGGACAGAACUUUUCUUUUUUUUGAGGUUCCAGUCUGUGCCUCGAUGUCAGGAUACUGCCACAUGAUAGACCUUCAUCCAUAUAAUCGUGGAACUUGCAAGAUUGCAAUCACAACAUCCCUUUAUGCGACUAGUGUAGAGACUUGAAGUUGGUACUUCCAAGAAUGCAGAAUCACAACCUCACCUCACUUUAUGCGACUAGUGUAGAGACUUAAAGUUGGCAUUUAUCUGAUCACCGGAUCUCGGCCUCCUUUCCCUUUACCAGUUUAAGACUAGACUAGGUAAAUCAUACAGAUUGUGAGCAGAGAUAAAGAAAGAAGGACAAACUGGAAGGAGGCAGAAGUCCAAGCACUCUGCUUUUUAGCAGCAUUGAACAAGAAAUCCCUCUUUUAAUUUGGAGUAAUGAUUUAAGUUAUCGGAACAAGGCAUUAUGACUGGAACAUGAAGGCAAGCGAUGCAGAGGAAGAAAAAUUAUCUUUUAGAUGAACUCUGCGGACAUCCCAAUACUUUUUCAGAUGCCCCCAGUUAAGUCAACAAUGGAACUUUCCAAGAAGAGGGAAGAGGACCUAUGGAAAGAUAUCCGCCCAUUUGUAGAUGAGGAAAAGGUAGAUCCUCUCAGCAUGAUCUGACCAAUGCGGUGAUGUCUUUUAAGACAAGCGCACACCUUACGACCCGAUCCGGCGUCACAGCUCUUGUCAGCUUGAGAGUCGCAGACCGGUCAGAGACAAGUCGCAAGGUAAACCGUAAGGAUUUGACAUGUCAAAUCCUUAUGACUGAACGGCAGGCUCAAUCCAACUUCCAACCAAUCAGACAGCAGAGUUGCACGACGCGUAUAUGAUAUACAACAUGCAUACGCUGUACGUAGCAAGCGCUAUUUUCUCAGUUGCUAUGGCAAAAAGCGCAGCAUGCGUGAGUCAAAGACAGCAUAGCAUGAAAGUCGGAUCGCAAGGUGUGCGGUGUCGAGGCUUAUGACUACCAUGCGAUUUAAGCUUCGACACUGCACACCUUGCGAUCCGACUACCAUGCUGUCUGCUACUCACGCAUGCAAUAUAAGGCCAGGGGGUGUUUCACAAAGAUUUAAGUAUGACUUAGAGUCGCACUUUAUGCCUCAUUACGUGCGAUAUAAAAGGCAUGACCGCAUUGGUCAGGUCAUGAGUAGAGGCAGCGCACUACUGACUAUUUGCGUUGGCAUUUAAGUGCUACCUAAGUCAUACUUAAAUCGUUGUGAAACACCACCCUGGUUACAUUGUAAAGCCAGGUUAGACUAUAAGUUGUUUCAAUUUUAAGCCAAGUUACUAUUUAAUGUUGGGUUACAUUACAAGGCAAGACUACAUUAUCAGGCCAUGUUACACUUUUAGUCAGGUUACACUAUAAGGUCAGUGGUGUUUCACAAAGAUUUUAAUAUGACUCUUACAUGAUAUGCAACAUGAAUCUUUUUAUCAAUACCGUACGCAGUAGUGCGAGUCCUCUCAGCAUGAUCUGACCAAUGCAGUGAUGUCUUUAAUACUGCAUGCAAGUAGGCCCAGAUUACACUUUUAGAUCAGGAUACCUUCUAAAGCCUGGUUACGCUUUAAAGAAGGUAACUCUUUAAAGCAGGUUAAAUUAUUAGGAGAGGUUACACAAUAAGCACAUGAAUCACACUUAAAAGGUCUAUGGAAGCCACUUGACUUUUCAAUUGCAGGUUACAUUAUAAGGCAAGGUUACACAAUAAGCACAGGUAUCACACUAUCAGGCAACUCAGCCUAAAUUACACUAAAAGAUCAGGAUACAUUUUAAAGCCAGGUUUAAAGCAAGGUUACUGUUUUAAGAAGUUAACUCUUUGCAGGUUAAACUAUAAGGCCAGGUUACACAAUAAGCACAGGUAUCACACUUAAAGCCUAUCAAAGCCAGAUUACUUUUUAAUUCCAGGUUACAUUAUAUAGGCCAGGGGGUGUUUCACAAAGAUUUAAUUAUGACUUAGAGUUGCACUUAAAUGCCUAGUUUUGCGCGGUAUAAAAGCCAUGACCGCAUUGCGCAUUGGUCAGAUCAUGCAAAGAGGACGCGCACUAUUGCGUAUUAAUGAAUUAGAUUGCGCGUUGCAUUUCAGAUACGCGUCGGCAUUUAAGUGCGAUUUAAGUCAUACUUAAUUCUUUGUGAAACACCCCCAGGUUACGUUGACCAUGUUUCAGUUUUAACCUAGUUACUCUUUAAUGUUGGGUUACAUUACAAGGCAAGACUACAUUAUCAGGCCAUGUUACACUUUUAGUCAGGUUACACUAUAAGGUCAGGGGUGUUUCACAAAGAUUUUGAUAUGACUCUUACAUGACAUGCAACGUGAAUCUUUUUUAUCAAUACCGUACGCAGUAGUGCGAGUCAUCUCAGCAUGAUCUGACCAAUGCGGUGAUGUCUUUUAUACUGCACGCAAGUAGGCCCAGAUUACACUACUGCUAUUUCAGACUUUGUUCUUGUAUUAAAAGUCUUCAGAUUACUAAAAAAUAAUGGUCAUAAAACUGUCUGGGAGUUAUGCUUAAUUUUAUACCUAAAAAGCCAUUUGUGACUUUGAGGAUUUUUUCACUCUUAUUUUUUGGAGAAUUUUUUUUACAAAAACAUCACGCUGAUCAUUUCAUGACAUGAAUGCUAGCAAGAAUAAAACCUGCAAAAUAAACAUUUCUAAUUAUAUGCAUUCUAAUUUUAUAUGAAUUAAACAAGGAUCAAUAGACCGGUUUACUAACAUAUUCAAAUUUUAUGCAUACCAGUUUAACAAAGGUUGCUUCUAACAACCGGAAAGCUUGCCUGAUAUUUGCCGAAAAUAGCAACAACUAAUGUAUGCAAAGUGGAUUCCAAGUAUUGAAAUACCAUUAAUAGCAGGUCUGAUUAAUAGGUACAGGUUAAUAGAAUAACUUGUUACUAGGUCCCGAUGGAAGAAACAUCCAUAAAUUUGACCUUAUUAGUAAAUCGGUCUAUUUCAGGGCGUCACUGGUACCUAUCUCCUGUUGGUGGCGAGCUGCUCAUUGUUGGAAAGUGAACAUUGCGCGUUGGAUCUCAAAUCAAAAGAUUUUUAUUAGAAUAUCUCUUUUACAGUUUUAUUGAUCAAAUUUGUAUGUAUCCAAUAUAUAGUAUUCCUCUGGUAAUUAUGGAGUCAGAAGACAUGGAACUGUUAUUAUUUUGGCUAUACAGUGCGUCCCAAAAAAAACCUAUACACUUUUGAAAUGGCUGCCAAAUAAAAAAAUGUACCACUUUGGGGGAAAAGACUUAUAGAUAUGGAAAGCCUAUAAAGUCAACUUUCAAAUGACACCAAAAAGUUGGAAAACUUUUCAUGCUUGAGCGAGCACUGCCCACUGAAACAAAGGGUAUGAAAAUUAGGGUGGGCUGGAAUUAGCCUUCCAAUUUCUUUCAGUUUUUUUUGUUUGGUACUUGCAAAGUUGAUGGUUAUUUGGUGAAUUAAAGAUCAGUUGUGAUCAGUUUGUUGUUUGUGAAAAUUUAAUGCGUUAUUAAAUUGAAAUUUAAUGCAUGAGUGAUCAUGAAUUGGGUGCAGCAUUUUGUCUUAUCAUGUGGAUCUCAACAAUGUGUUCACGACAGUCAGGAGAAGAGGGGGUAAUAUGACUUAGGUAGGUGAAGUACGUUGAUGGGAUAAAGGUCAACAGAACAUUUAGCAACCCCUCUCUCAAUCUCACCCCCCCCCGCUUCUCUCCUCCUGAGAGACUAAGCUCAGCUAAAGUAGGAUGGGCAGGAAUUAGCCUUACAGUUUUUUGAGUGGUUAGUCCUUUGGAACUUGUUAAGCUAAAUUAAUGAGUGAGAUAAGUUUUGGUUUCUUAGGCAAAUCUCAUGAGUUACUAAAUUGAAAUGUAAUGCAUGAGUGAACAGGAAUUGUAAUUUUAUUGUAGCAUAUUCAUCUUGUGAACCUCAAAAGUGUGUUCGUGAGAGUCAGAGUAAUGUGAUGGUACCCGUUACAAGCAAGAGGGCGAGAUAUGCUAAGACUUGGUUAAAAGGGCAUUCCUCUUCUUUUUUUUCCUUUUACAAAUUAAAAGUCAUAUGUACCCUCUCUCUCUCUGUCUCACUUCCUGCAUCAUUUGUAGCCUAUUCAAAACUUAACUGCCAAGUGACCGGUGGCUGAUGGUCAGUUUUUUUUUUUUCAAUGACUACCAAGAAAUUUAAUGAUUAUGAUGAUUAAUGAAAUAAUUAAUUGAAAAAAAACUGAAUGUUUGAUUGAUCACAUUGCACAUUGAAUAAGUUGAUUUACUGAUAAAUUGUUGAUUAAAUGAUUGAUAGGAAAAAGUUGAUGUCCCAAUUCAGAAUUAAUCAUUAAAUCAACAUUCUGCUCUGGACUUCACGCGUACAUGACAAUAGCCAUCAGUCUCUCAACAGGAGGGAGGGCGGGAGAGAGGGAGGGGGCGGGGGCUGAAUGUUCUGUUGACCCUUAUUCCAUCAACCUACUUCUCUCACUUAAGUCCUAUCUCACCCCCUAUUCUCCCGACGCCCAUGAACACAUUGCUGAGAUCCACAUGAUAAAUUUGAAAUGCUGCCCAAAAAGAGAUCCAAAUGAUAAAGUUUAAA
Molecule: long non-coding RNA, 4798 nt
Organism: Lytechinus pictus (painted urchin)
Lineage: Eukaryota; Metazoa; Echinodermata; Echinoidea; Temnopleuroida; Toxopneustidae
Exons: 6
Source: RefSeq, a predicted model, not a curated record